CAUUUGCAAGCUUCAAUAUACAAUAUAUUCCUCUCCUUUUGCUAAAUUUACCCCGCAAUGCCUCCUAUACUCUUUUUAAUCUCCGUUGAUCUAAUACCAAAACGAAGCAGUAUCCCAAAUCCUAAAACAAGGAAUUGCUGUAAUUUAUCCAGACGGGAAUUUCGUUGGACCUGUGUGAACAAAUAGGCCCAUGAGAGUCGUGCAUGCACAAAUGUCAGUCCAGCGUUGAAUUCUUCCCUUCCUAUAUUCACUGUAGUGAUAGUUGGUAGAUUGAUGUAAUUAGUAUAGAAAAUUUGCAUAUGAUGCACCAUGUUAUAUUUUAACGAGUCACAAGCUAAAGGAAAGGCUAUAUAUACUAUGUGAUAUUGGGGCAACAUGUUAUAUACAUUUGUAUCACAAAUAGUUUGGACACUACUUUCUACUUUGGGAUGACAAAUAGCUAAUGCUAUCAUAAAGUUUGUUUCGACGGACUUUGAGUCUUCGUUGUUAUAUGGUUGAGAAGCGAAGCACAAUUGCGCAAAUAGUUUGUGAAGAACCAAAUUCAGUGCAUGGAAUUAGCAGUGAUCAUGCAUUUAGUUUGAUUAGGCAUUUUUAAAUUCGUCGAUAUUGUUAGUGCAUUUCAAAGUAUGGACUAGUUUAUUCUAACCCAUUAUUUUAAUUCUUCAAUUCUAAUUCCUUAUAUAUUCGCCAAUAAUCAUAUCUUAAUUCAAGGAUUAACCCUGCUCAAAUGAUGUACCCUUUAUUCCAUUGGAAAAAAUUUUAACCAUUUUUUUUGUAAAGAAAUUUGUUGUAACGGUGACGGGUUUAAACCGGAAAAUGGACGUUUUGAGGAAAACGUACACCAACCGGGACUCAAUGCAGCCGUUAGAGAAAAGUAUAGAACUAACCGAUAUUGAUCAUGAUCAAAAAUCAAAUCAUGAUCAAAUAAAAAAUGCCGUACCGCUAUUAAUCAACUUUGCAAACAUGAUGCGCUUUUUACAUUAAUGAUAGCCUAAUGUAUUUAAUUUUCUAAGCUUGUGACUGUAGUUGACUCAAGUUACUCAAGAAAUACCAUUAGUUCGAUUUACAGUUAUAUUUAUACAAUUGGUUACUUUCAUUUGCUGAAUUAUAUAUUAUAUUACAAAG
Non-coding RNA from Paramuricea clavata, 1125 nucleotides. The record is from the annotation of a GenBank genome assembly. NCBI's taxonomy places the organism in Eukaryota, Metazoa, Cnidaria, Anthozoa, Malacalcyonacea, Plexauridae.